UUUCCGUAGGUGAACCUGCGGAAGGAUCAUUCAUAAUAAAGUGUUUUAUGGCACUUUUUAAAAAUCCAUAUCCACCUUGUGUGCAAUGUUAGAUCUCGUCAAUCUUGGCGAGAUUUUUAUACAUCAACUCAUUCUUUAACUAAUUUGUCUGAAAAAUAUUAUGAAUACUUAGUUCAAAAUACAACUUUCAACAACGGAUCUCUUGGCUCUC
This 211-nucleotide unclassified non-coding RNA is filed under the name plant metagenome. RNAcentral describes it as "partial contains small subunit ribosomal RNA, internal transcribed spacer 1, and 5.8S ribosomal RNA". The record is from RNAcentral.